GCUGUGCUGUGUCUGCACCAGAAUUCAGAUGUGCUCUGUUUUCCUUGGUUUCCACAGACCCAGGGCUUUUCUUCCAACACCCUUUUGCACUGACCCUUUUUACUGACUUCUCAAAUAGAAGGAUUAAGGCUGAAGAAGCACGGGACAGGGCUUACGGGAUUGGCAGAUCUGAUUCUGGGGACUGUAGGCUGUUACAGAGCUUCCACUGCUCUCUGGUCCUGGCAGUUCUACAAGUCCCUUGCAGCCCUGGGUCACUCUACAGGGAUAUAUGAAAGCCAAAUUAACUUUCCUCUGGGAAGCAGUGUCACUGGAGUUAACAGAACACUGGGUGCCCAGCGCUCAGGUAACUCAUUAACCACAUUAACCAAUGCUUGAACUAUCAGCUUCCAGAAGGCUCUGGUCUCUUCUGAGAAUGUAGGCCACGACAGUCCUUGUGACACCUUACACGUGACACCGUGGGGAUUUAGCUAAAUAAAUACAUCGAUGUCCCUUAAAAUAAGAACAGAAGAAGAUUCAGGCAGUCGGUGACUAUGUUCUCCUUCCUUCUGAAUUUCCCUAGAGAAAAUUUCUACUCAUCUAAAUUUUAUGUGAUGGAAAAAAAGUGUCUGCAGAUGCCCUGGAAAUAUAGACAACAGUGUCCCUGUGGCCUGAUGGUGACAGCAGCUGGGUCUUAGGCUGCAUUCCUACCUGAGCUGGCUCUUGUUCCAGGACCCACAGGCCUCCAAGGUGACCUUUCUUUUUUAAUCCUUAUGCUGUAGAGAUUGUUCAGUAGUUUCAGUAAAGAGCAGCCUGGACAAAAUCCUGAGUGGCUUGCCAUCAAAGUUGAAUCCAGAAAUCUAAGACUCUCAGCUUAAAGCCAAUCACUUGGAGAGGAGUGAGUCCCGGAAUCAUUAUUCCUUUUCAUAACUCUGCUUGCUCCACUGUCUGUGGGUUCAGUAGCAGCUUUUUUCAGAAGGGUCUGCCCAGGCCUGAUACAGAAAACAACCCCGGGGAAUACGUGUGGCCCACCCUGGAGAGCAGAGACCGGCUGCUGCUUUGCAGUGGCCUUGACAAAGAAGUUCAAUCUUUGGGUGUCAUUUAGUCUCCUCCCAAAGCAUGCAGUAGUUUUGGAUCUCCAACAUUCCCUUUGUGUGGUGACACCUGGAGUUCUAAAAGACUGGCAGCGCCUCAGAUGGGCCUUUGGGUUGCCAGAUCAGACCCCACAGCCUUGCACGUCCGUCAAGAUGUCUGUGCACUGCAGCCAGCCUCAAGACAGCCUGCUGUUUGGUUGUCAGAUCCAACAGAUAAAGCCCCUCCUCCACUGUACCCUAGCUUUCACAUCCAAGCUUGUUAUCAGUCCCACAGCCCAUUUCAUGGUGUUCCCGGAGCAGAUUAAACAACAUCAGUCUCAGACAGCCAGAAGGAAGAAUCUCAUCUCAUCCCAUUUCCGUAGAGCUAGCCAAUCACAGUGUCUCUGGAAUGCAAAGACAGAGAGGCUGUCUCCAUUCUCUUGAUCUUCCUUCAUGGUCAUCAGGUGGGUAGCACGAGGCAAGACUGUUCAUCACGUCUUUCUUCUUUAUCACUUGUAACCUUAAUUAGCAGAUUUUAGGAAGCACUAUACUAAACGCUGUCUGUAUGUGACAUUUCAUUUGAUUCUACACCAGAGAAGGAAAACAGAGGUAGAGAUAACUUUCUUAGCAUCACACAGGCAAGGAUGGUAUAUAGAAUGGAGUCUUGAGCUCUGGCAUCUUGGCUCCAGAACCCUCCUGGGGUCAAAAUACUUCUUUAUAAGGAGAGAAGGCAUUUCCCAGAAGCCCUUGGGAAGAUUCUUACCUUAUGGCUCAUUGUUUAAAUGUGGGUCACAUGACUUCCCUGGCUGUAAUACAAGUGCAGCUUUAUGGAAUUGACCUUAAGGCUGAAAAGGUCAGGUGAGUAGUCAACCAACAGUCUGUCCCAGGUACAGGAAAAACAAUGGCCUUUGUUAUAGGGGAGAAGUCUGAGGCAUACUGAGCUGCUAGGUGGAAGUCCAGGUCAGGGUUUGCUUGGCUUGCUGCCAAUGGGAGAAGAGACCUGGUAUUUGCUCAUAGCCAGCCAGAAACAGUGGAACUGCCAGCAGCCUGUCCUCCAGCCAGUAGGCCGAUGUCUGAGCAGGAACAGGUCUUAUUAAAUUAUUCAUUCUGAUUUAAUGGGGGAGGAAAUCAGAUACAACAGGUGUGGUUCUGCCUGCUUGCUGAAUGGCUCAAACCUAGCUUUUAGAUACUUGCUGCCUCGGGGAAAAGCAGCAGGCAGAAAAAUCAACAGUAUUUUAAGCUAAUUACUGAAAUGCUGCAAUACCUGUCAAAUAGGGACAUUUUGUUCUGUUGACAGUGGUCACAGAAUAGAACUAUGGGAAGGAAAAAGGCAAUUUGCUGUUCACAAUUCAGAAAGAAAAAAAAAACUCUCAGAUACAUGGUCACAUUCCAAGUAUUAUUCUACCUUCUUAGAAGCUCAGGUGAAAUUUCAUUUUUACAAGCUCAAAGAGACUCCUCAGUUGCUACAUUAGAGAGGAAACUCAUUAAACUUGAAGUCUAUUACUAUAAUAUGCUAAAAUAGAAGGUGUUGUGUCUGCUUUAAAACAACUUGCAUCAAGCCAAUGUUAGCCAUCGAGUUGAGUUGAUUUGCAGUGGCACAUGGGACGGAGAAGAAGGGGUGAGUGCAAAGAGUUGCCUGGCCGUUCCAUGUCUGAGAAGAGGGGAAGCUGAAAUGAUGCUCCAUCCUUCUGUGGUGAUGUAUUUGAAUGCAGCAAAGUUGUUUGCUGAAGUACGAUGGGGAAUUUAUGUUCCCAUUUGGAGUUUCACCUGAGGCAGAGUGCUACUUCCACACUCACCCCUUUAAGCCAGCAUGAUGCCAGUGACUUCAAGGCUCCCAAGAACAAUCGGACCACAAUGUGGAAAAGACAUCAUGACGUGGAAGAAAAUGGCUGUGCAGAUCACCUCUCCUGUACUAUUACAUGAAAAAAAAAAAAUCAAUGAAGUUUGGGGGUUGAAUAAGAAUAGCCUCAUAGGCUCAUAUGUUUGAAUAUUUGUUCUUCCAUUGAAACUGUUUGGGAAGGAUUUGAAGAUGUGACCUCAAGAUGUUCAGGUGCCAGUCCUGCUGACAUGCCCUGGCCUCGGCCAUCAUGGACUCUAACCCUUUGAAACUGUGAGCCCCAAAAUAAACACUUCCUUUUUUAAGUUA
This is a long non-coding RNA of Mus musculus (house mouse), 3195 nucleotides long. RefSeq annotates it as predicted gene, 35071. The record is from RefSeq and is a predicted model, not a curated record. Lineage: Eukaryota; Metazoa; Chordata; Mammalia; Rodentia; Muridae. The transcript is spliced from 3 exons.